Cucumis melo (muskmelon) is the source of this 739-nucleotide long non-coding RNA. RefSeq lists it as uncharacterized. NCBI's taxonomy places the organism in Eukaryota, Viridiplantae, Streptophyta, Magnoliopsida, Cucurbitales, Cucurbitaceae. The record is from RefSeq and is a predicted model, not a curated record. The transcript has 3 exons.
UUCCUGUUCAUCACUCCCCCUCAACCCUUCACUGUUCACCACUCCAGUUUCCUCUCUUUUUUUUUGUUCAUCCUUCGUCUUCUCUUCUUCUCUAGCUUUCUCCUCUCUUUCUUUCGCCGUUCGUCUUCUCUUUUCUCCAACUUUCUCCUUUUUUUUCGUCAUUCGUCUUCUCGUCUUCUCUUCUUUUUUUUCGUUGUUCAUCUUCUCUAUGGAUUGGAAUCUGAUGUACUGGCGAUUGGUUGGUUUUCCGUUGUCAGGAAUUGGGAAUUGGAAAUGCGUGUAUUGUUGUUAUCAUUGAUGCCAAGUGCGACUUCGUUAUCAGCAAGUUGUUUGGUGCUUGAAUCUCUCGUAUUUUGGGCGUUAAUGGAUUGAAGAAUCAGGUUUUGGAUGCAAUAUUAAAGACAUUGCCAUCUGGGUUUAUGAUUUUGUUAUUAUUGACAUCUGUUUCUGCUGGCGACAACAGAUUUUCAAGAUGUAAUUGUGAUGGUGAGGAUAGUUUAUGGAGCAUUGACAGCAUUAUGGAGUGUCCGCAUGUGAACGUGAGUUUUUGUUGAAGAAGAAGACAUGGAAUCUAGGAAGAGAAGUUGGCAUGAUACUGAAGCAGAAAGAAGUUAGCUUACACGUUCGGAUGCUUACGAAAGUUGAAGAAAAUUUCAAAAUAUAUGGUAUAAAGAUAGAAGUAGGAGUUAAUAGAACCAAGUUAAUAAUAAUAAUAAUAAUAAUAAAAAGAAUUAUUGUA